This 347-nucleotide ribosomal RNA is filed under the name uncultured bacterium. RNAcentral's name for it is "partial 16S ribosomal RNA". It matches the Rfam family "Bacterial small subunit ribosomal RNA", at positions 338 to 696 of the family's 1533-position model. The record is from RNAcentral.
CCUACGGGUGGCAGCAGUCGAGAAUCAUUCACAAUGGGGGAAACCCUGAUGGUGCGACGCCGCGUGGGGGAAUGAAGGUCUUCGGAUUGUAAACCCCUGUCAUGUGGGAGCAAAUUAAAAAGAUAGUACCACAAGCGGCAGAGACGGCUAACUCUGUGCCAGCAGCCGCGGUAAUACGGCGGUCUCAAUCGGUGUUCGGAAUCACUGAGCGUAAAGCGUGCGUAGGCUGUUUCGUAAGUCGUGUGUGAACGGCGCGGGCUCAACCCGCGGACGGCACAUGAUACUGUGGGACUAGAGUAGUGGAGGGGUAACCGGAAUUCUCGGUGUAGCAGUGAAAUGCGUAGAUA